UACGAAGGGGGCGAGCGUUGUUCGGAAUCACUGGGCGUAAAGGGCGCGUAGGCGGCCCUUCUUGUCGCGUGUGAAAGCCCCGGGCUCAACCUGGGAAUGGCGCGCGAGACGGGGGGGCUGGAGUUCGGGAGAGGAGCGUGGAAUUCCAGGUGUAGCGGUGAAAUGCGUAGAUAUCUGGAGGAACACCGGUGGCGAAGGCGGCAUCCUGGACCGGCAUUGACGCUGAGGCGCGAAAGCUAGGGGAGCAAACGGG
This 253-nucleotide ribosomal RNA is filed under the name uncultured bacterium. RNAcentral describes it as "partial 16S ribosomal RNA". It matches the Rfam family "Bacterial small subunit ribosomal RNA", at positions 524 to 776 of the family's 1533-position model. The record is from RNAcentral.